CAGGUAGUGGCCGGGCGGCAGGCGGCAGCGGCGGCUCACGUCGCGGCGGGCGCAGAAAACCGAGCGGUCCGCGCGCAGCAGUCCCGGAAGAAAACACAACGGAAUGAGGGCUGGAGAGCUCGCAGACUCCCCGCCCCUCCACACCUCUCACACCCCUCCUUUCUGGACCCUUAACAUUUCCUCAUCUCUGACCUAAGUCCCCUCUGACCCCGUCCCCAACCCUUUCCUUUCCACCUGUGCCCUCACCCCUUCUCUGCCCCUCCAGACCCUCACCUGGAACACGUGGAAGCCCACAGUGAGGUUCCAGCAGUGUCAGCCGGAACUGGGGAUUGGUCCAGAAGUUUUCUGACAGAGAAGAAGGUGGUGGAGUUCUCAUCCUGACACAAGCCUCCCCC
This is a long non-coding RNA of Apodemus sylvaticus (European woodmouse), 395 nucleotides long. RefSeq lists it as uncharacterized. The record is from RefSeq and is a predicted model, not a curated record. Lineage: Eukaryota; Metazoa; Chordata; Mammalia; Rodentia; Muridae. The transcript is spliced from 3 exons.